GUAAAAAACACCUGAGAGCUUCUCCCCUAAGGUUCAGGAACAAGAUAAGGAUGUCCAGUCUCAGCCUUUUAUUCAACAUGAAAUUGGAAUCUAGAAAG
Mustela erminea (ermine) is the source of this 98-nucleotide long non-coding RNA. RefSeq lists it as uncharacterized. The transcript has 3 exons. The record is from RefSeq and is a predicted model, not a curated record. NCBI's taxonomy places the organism in Eukaryota, Metazoa, Chordata, Mammalia, Carnivora, Mustelidae.